Molecule: RNA transcript, 3311 nt
Organism: Colossoma macropomum (tambaqui)
Lineage: Eukaryota; Metazoa; Chordata; Actinopteri; Characiformes; Serrasalmidae
Gene: ccdc136a
Gene name: coiled-coil domain containing 136b
Exons: 9
Source: RefSeq, a predicted model, not a curated record
AGAGGAAUAAAUGUGAAAACAGCAGUGAGGAAAAGAAAUGCGGGUGCAGGAGUGUGUGUGUGUGUGUGUGUGUGUGUGUGAGAGCAGAAGAAGCAAAACAACAAGAGAAAAGAUACUGCCUCCACUCAUCCUCUCUCAUUCUCUCUCUCUAUCUCUCACAUUCCUCUCUUUCUCUCUCUCUCUCUCGCUCUCUCUCUGCUCUCUUUCUCAGUUUCUCUCCUUUUCCUCUCUCUCUCUCUCUCUCUCUCCUCCUACUCUCUGUUUUGAGGGGGGGUCUCAGACUCGGUGCUUUCCACUCUGCAGAGUGUUUGUGUGUGUUGAGAGUGUGUAUUGUGUGUGUGUGUGUGUUGUGCGAGUGUUCCUCAUGUCUCAGUGAGUCUGAGCGUGUGUGUGUGUGUGUGUAGGUGUGUGUGAGAGACCCCUCCUACGCUACGAUGGAUGGAUUACGGCUCCCACCGCUGAUAGAGGAGACUCCGGACCCCACAGAUGAGAGCACUGAUCUGAAAGCAGAGGAGCCCAUCAUGAGCAGCGAUCUGACGGAGAAGGAGCGAGAGAACGCGGAGCUGGAGGGAGAGGAGAAGGAGGUGAAGGAGGAGAAGGCUGGAGACGAGGUGCUGAGCGAGGAGCAGGAGCUGGAGGAGCUCAGGGCUCAGGUUCUGCAGCUGCUGCUGGAGCUGGAGGAGGCGCGAGACGCUUCGCAGAAACACCAGGAGAACUUCCUCGAGCUGCAGGGUCUUUUGGAGGACGAGCGUUUGGCCAGUGCCCACCAGGCCGAGGCGUUCACCCACCAGAUCCAGCACCUGCAAGCUCAGCUGCGCGGUGUUCAGGACGAGCUGGACCGUGUUCAGGAGCUGAAGGACAGUGAACUGGCCGAGGCUCAGGCCGAGCUGAGUCUUGUGAGGGAGGAGGUGCAGGCGCUGAGGGAGGCGGCGGAGGAGUGCGCGGCCGAGCGAGAGAACGACAUCGCCAGCCUGCAGGAGGAGCUGUGCAGGGUCCGAGCUGAAAUGAGCCGAGUGGAGGCCACCGCACAGGAGUACGAGCUGGAGGCGGUCACUCUGAGAGCCGAAAUCGCCAUGAAGAGCCAAAGGAGGGAGCAGGAGAGGAGAGAGGGUGACGUCGUCCUGCUGAGGGAGGAAUGUUCCAGUUUGAAAGCGGAGUGUGAGACGCUGAAGGAGGCCAACAGCAGACUGACUGAGAAACUGCAGCUGCUGCAGGACACACGAAACGCCAGUGUGUGUCCCCCGCUGAAGGAGGAGCAGGAGGAGGGUGAGAAAGAAGCUGAAGGGAGCAGCGUGAACACGGUGGAGUCUUCAAACUCAAACUGCAGGCUGGUGGACGCCAGCAUCCAGAAGAACAUUUCCUUUGAGGGAAAGCCGCUCACGCCCACCAGCUGGAGCGCAGGAUUCUCCGAAAUCCUCUCCCUGAGAGAGCAGCUGAAGCAGGCAGAGGAGAGAGCGGAACAGGUGCAGAGACAGUGUGACGGGGUGCGGAUUGAGAUGAGGGAGCUACAGGACCUGUUUGAGACCAGUCAGAAGGAACGUGCAGAGCUGGAGCUGGAGCUGCUGCGCUGUAGGGAGGAGCUGGACAAGCUCACAGAGGGGAAUGGGACACAGGACUGAUAGUGAUUGUGGCUGUGCUGUGGUGCUGCUGGUCUGAGCUGGGUUCCUGAAGAGUGAAGGGACGACAACAGAGUCUUUCUCUGGCUGUUAUUACGCCUGCAGCAGAGCUGUCCAUCCUCUCAUGCUUGUUUAAUUUUGAACCUGCUGACCUAUGGUCAGUCGAGCGCCCGAUUUACUGACCCAUGAUCAGCUUAAAGGUCAGAUCCAUUUCUCUUCCUGCCUUUGGUUCUACCCGGAACUUCUUUGGCGUUCGGCCAUCUCUGAGUGGGCCGUGUAGUUUUUCCUGACCCUAAAUGACCAGCAGAGCAGAACGUGGAGCGGCAGCUUUAGCGGAGACGAGGAUUUAACUGUAACUCUGUGGAAGUUUCUUACUCUUUUUGUAAAAAGUCACCUAUUUUACCUUUCAGUACGUUGCUUGUAAUCUGAUUUCCUAUUAGGUUAAUAUCAACUCUAUGUUUUAUAAAGAUAUAUUAAUUUAUUCACCUAUUUAACAUAAAUAUCGUGUAUAGAUUGUUCCUUUAUGUGGUGUUAUGUAAAAAAACUUAAAUUAAUAUAUUUUUAGAGGGAGAACUAAGUGGUGAGGAAGGUAUCGAAUGCAAUAAAAAUAUAAGGCGUCUUCUGCAGCUCGAAUUUCACCUCUAGAUCAGGUGAAGAAAAAUAACUUUACUGUCCCAUCAUGUGUUAGAUGAAGGGUGAAGGGAUGUGGAUGAAGGCUUUUAUCUUUAUGAUAAUGGUACGCACCUGCACAGGUGCACAUACAGGCACUGACAGUGUAGACCAUCAAUUUAUUGAUGAUUUUUUCUGUCAUAAGUGGAAUUAACAACCAUAUUGUAGUGCACUAUAGAUAAUAAUGGACAACAAAUUAUGUUUUAAAUAUCUAUAUAUUUAUAAAUGUAUUUACACAAAUCAUAUAAAUACAUGUCAUGGAUUUCCAUUAAAAAAAUCAGUUUAAUUUAAAUAACAGUUUAAUUUGAUGGAUUAUUAUAAAGGUUGAUUUGGAAAUCCAGUGUUUUUGUAUUUAUUGUUUUUACUAUUUUUAUAUGGAGCUUGUUAGUCUUUUUCUUAUUUGGGAAAAAACUGAAGCCAUUUUAAUUAGAUAUUUAAAAAUUAUACAAAUAUUUAUUCCCAAAGCCAUUUUCAGCCCAUGGUGUAGCUUCAAAUACUGCAUGCAGUAACAAAAAACACCACAGGUUUAAAAAGAACUUUUAAAAACUAUUUAACGUGAAAUAUUAUUAUUUGUAAGUUAUAUUAAUAGAAAGUGAAUAUUUCAGUUCAGUUCAUCAUUUCUGUAAAGUUACGCUCAGGAUUUAAGAUGCAAUUUACAACCUGAUGGAGCAAAAUUGAAUUAAUAGCUAAAAAACUAUUUGAAGCACAGCUUUGAAAUUUUGCAUGUUUGCAUGAAUUAAUUUGAUUAAUUUAAUUGUUAUUCGUGUGGAAUGUAAAUUUAAAAAAUCUAAUGGCAUUUUUAAAAAUAAUCACUGAACAGAAAUGUUCCAAAGCUGAAUGUUCUACUGUUGCACAUUUUUCCUCCAAGCGUUGCCGGAUCUGUUCAGUAAUGAGGUCGCUAAGGAGCCAAAAUAUGAAUCUUUGUGUGGUACACUCUUAAAAAAUGGUUCUUCAAGGGUUCUUUAGUAAAGACAAUGGUUAUUUAAGGUUCUAUACCAUUUGCAUGCUUAAAUGUUUCUCUGCAUG